GAUGAACGCUGGCGGCGUGCCUAAUACAUGCAAGUCGAGCGAACAGACGUGGAUCUUGCUCCUCUGACGUUAGCGACGGACAGGUGAGUAACACGUGGAUAACCUACCUAUCAGACUGGGAUAACUUCGGGACACCGGACCUAAUACCAGAUAAUAUAUUGCACCGCAUGGUUCACUAGUGACUGACUGUUUUGCUGUCACUUAUAUAUCGUUCCGGGCCGCUUUAGCUUAGUGGUAAGGUAACGGCUUACCAAGGCGCCGAUGCGUAGCCGACCUGGGAGGGGGUUCGGCGACACUGGAAGAGAGACACGGGCCAGACUCGUACGGGAGGCAGGAGUAGGGAAUCUUCGGAAGCGGGCGAAAGGCUGACGGAGCAACGCGGGGUGAGUGAUGAAGGUCUUGGGACCGGAAAACUCUGUUAUUAGGGAAGAACAACUGUGUAAGUAAGUAUGCACGUCUUGACGGUACCUGAUCAGAAAGCAACGGCUAACUACGUG
RNAcentral lists this ribosomal RNA (497 nucleotides) under uncultured bacterium. RNAcentral describes it as "partial 16S ribosomal RNA". It matches the Rfam family "Bacterial small subunit ribosomal RNA", at positions 28 to 507 of the family's 1533-position model. The record is from RNAcentral.